Molecule: long non-coding RNA, 1603 nt
Organism: Mercenaria mercenaria
Lineage: Eukaryota; Metazoa; Mollusca; Bivalvia; Venerida; Veneridae
Exons: 3
Source: RefSeq, a predicted model, not a curated record
UAAUGGUACUGUCCAGAUUGAAAGAUGGACAAGUUCAUUAUAGAAAUUUAGCAGGGUAAGUGUUAAGUUGCAUCACUUGAUAAUUCCUGCUAUUACAGGUAUAAAGACAAGUGAAGUAUACAACUUUCAAGAGUGACUGCAUUAAACUACAUCAGAAAUCAUUCAUACCCACAUGUAUUUAGACUGACCAGAAAUGAAAAUGUGAAGGCAAUAAUAAAAUACAAGAAGUGGACAACUGACAAGCUGUAUUGAAAAAGACAUUAAUGGCAGCCAAAGACCUUCCAUUGUGACAACUUCAGAAUUUGAUCAUGUGACCUAAGAAACAGGGAAAUGCUGAAAGUUGUAAAAGCAAGAAAUGCAAUAACUUGUUUCAGGUUUGACAAGCCAUGGGUGGUCUGUUCUGUUCCAAAGAUGACUAAGGAACAUGACAAGCCAUGGGUGGUCUGUCCUGUUCCUAAGAUGACUGAAAACAGGAUGCAGCUUUAUGGCAUUUAAGAGAGGAGAACAAUUAUACAUAUGGUAACAGUGUGUGAGAGUUUGGGCAUGUAACAAAACCGAGCCUGUCUUGUGCCUCACAUAUUCUGGACAAGGAUGAGAUCUGACCUACCACCAUGCUGUAUAUACUGUGGAGAUAAGAAACACCUGCUGGAAGAUACAGAUCUGUAUAUCACAAAACUUUGUUAAAAUUUUGUGUGUACAUUCACUGUGUACAACCUAUCAAUGAAAUGAUAGUGAUGCCAAAACUUUGGUAGUAAAUUCUUCAAGAAACAAAAAAGAUGUUAUAUAUGUGAUACACCUUCAGUGUUUACUGAAAAAUGAAUUCUGUGUAAAAACAUGUACGCUAGUGGAGUCGAUUCUCAUUCCGACAUAUUUAUUACAAUAUUGUGAUAAAUUCAAAAGAAAAAUUAUUGAAUAACAUUAAUACACAUAUUGAUAAACAUGUGACAUGAUGUGCUUUAAGUUUUGAGACAGAAGAUAUUUGAAUGAAACCAUUUUAGUCAGUUGUAUUCUUAUUAGAAUUAUUGUUCAGAUGUAUAAAAUUUUCAAACAAGUUUUUUUUUUCACCCUGAAGAAGGCUCUGUUAGUAUUGUAAGAAGUCCAAAAGUUGGGCUUAAAUUAACAUUGUCAAACUAAACCUGCUUUGGUAGUGUGGUUACAUUACAUUUCCAUGUCUUAUUAAAGUAAAUGUUAAGCCAGUCUAAUUUGUUAAAAUAUUAUGCCUCCCCUUGGGAUUAAGGCAAUGUUGAGGCAUUUUCUUUCAGUGCCCUAACUCUGGUCUUGUUUCAGUUGAAUGGUUUUCCCCAAACUGUCGUAGGUUUGAGUUGCAAAAGGGGUACAAAUAAUGAUAAAUGAAAUUAGUUAAGGAUUUACUUACAAAACGCUCCUGUAGUCUUCAAAAUCUGUAGAAAAACUAUCUAAUGUGUUAACCACACAGUGAAAUUUUGGUUACUGUGUAAUUUUUAAAGUACCGGUACUGUUCACUUCAAAUCAAUUCAUACCCACUUCUUUACAGGUCAAAGUGUAGAAAAACUUUUGCUUGGUUCAUGUAAAAUCUAACCGCUUCUUAAAAAGUCAGAUUUGAGGAAAAAAAGAAAAGAAUGCA